RNAcentral lists this ribosomal RNA (343 nucleotides) under Pheidole embolopyx. RNAcentral's name for it is "partial 16S large subunit ribosomal RNA". Lineage: Eukaryota; Metazoa; Arthropoda; Insecta; Hymenoptera; Formicidae. The record is from RNAcentral.
AAUAGUUUUUUAAAUGGAAACUGGGAUGAAUGAAGUGAUGAGAUUUAUACUGUUUUGGAUUAAAUAGUUAAAUUUAUUAAUUAAGUAAAAAUACUUAAAUGAAUACAUGGGACGAGAAGACCCUAUAGAAUUUUAUAUAAAUUUAAUGUGAAAAUUUAGUAUAAUGUUUAUUAUAUUUAUAUUUUAUUGGGAGGAUAGUUAAAUUAAUUAAACUUUAAAAAUAAAAAUCCAUUAAUUUAUGAAUUAUGAUUUAGAGAAUGAUAGAUAUUUUUAAUUAGAAUUAAUUACCUUAGGGAUAACAGCGUUAUAUUUUUAAAGAGAUCUUAUUGAUAAAAAUGAUUGC